RNAcentral lists this non-coding RNA (24 nucleotides) under Arabidopsis thaliana (thale cress). Lineage: Eukaryota; Viridiplantae; Streptophyta; Magnoliopsida; Brassicales; Brassicaceae. The record is from RNAcentral.
AUAGGGCUUACUGGGCUUAGCCGA